UACGGAGGAUGCGAGCGUUAUCCGGAUUUAUUGGGUUUAAAGGGUGCGCAGGCGGAUUUUUAAGUCAGCGGUCAAAUCGAGGGGCUCAACCCCUUUAAGCCGUUGAAACUGGUGAUCUUGAGUGGGCGAGAAGUAUGCGGAAUGCGUGGUGUAGCGGUGAAAUGCAUAGAUAUCACGCAGAACCCCGAUUGCGAAGGCAGCCUGCUGGACUGUAACUGACGCUGAUGCUCGAAAGUGUGGGUAUCAAACAGG
This 252-nucleotide ribosomal RNA is filed under the name uncultured Bacteroidales bacterium. Its description in RNAcentral is "partial 16S ribosomal RNA". It matches the Rfam family "Bacterial small subunit ribosomal RNA", at positions 524 to 776 of the family's 1533-position model. The record is from RNAcentral. Lineage: Bacteria; Pseudomonadati; Bacteroidota; Bacteroidia; Bacteroidales.